RNAcentral lists this transfer RNA (65 nucleotides) under Parborlasia corrugatus (corrugated ribbon worm). Its description in RNAcentral is "tRNA-Pro". It matches the Rfam family "tRNA". Rfam says of the family: Transfer RNA (tRNA) molecules are approximately 80 nucleotides in length. Their secondary structure includes four short double-helical elements and three loops (D, anti-codon, and T loops). Lineage: Eukaryota; Metazoa; Nemertea; Pilidiophora; Heteronemertea; Lineidae. The record is from RNAcentral.
CAAGAAAUAGUUUACUUAAAACACUAGCCUUGGACGCUAAAAACUGGAGAAAAUCCAUUUCUUGA